ACUUAAAAAAUGACAAUAAAUUAAGAAUAUAAUUACCGGAAGAAUAAGAAUAACACAUUGUUUUUAAAACCACCACGGGAAUAUAGAGUAAACUGAAAGUAAAAAUAUAAGUAGACUAUUUUAACAAUAAUUCAGUCACAAAGAACACAAAACUGUUACAAAACACAAUUCAAAAUAUUCGAAUUACAAAUAUCCGUUACAAAGCGACAAACUACACUGCACUAAAGUUUACAGUGUAAAUUGUUCAAGAAGCGCGAAACCAGUACCUCACGACGCAUGUGCUAAAAAAUAUUCGUUAAAGUCGCAGAUUCUGAAAGGUUAUUGAUAAAAUUAUGCUUAGUUAAACCUUAGUUAAAUCUUAAACUAAAAAUGUGUAGUCAACCAAGAAAAUGUUAACUAAAUAAUGCAACGUGUGCAAUAUUCUACUGAAUAUUCAAUAAAGGAUAGACGACAGACCAGUUCAGUGUAACAAAAAACAGGAAGUGCUUGGUAAAAAUAGUUUAAUUUUGAUACCAGCAGCCUUUGGAAGACUCGUGAAAUGUGUAAUAUAUGUACAGACAAAUUUUUUGACCAAUGGCCAGCAACUGUAAAUGCAAAAACGUGUCAUUUUAUAAUUGAUGAACAUCUACUCGAUUAUCCAGAUGUCAAUACCUGAAAAACUUAGGACCAAUCAAUGCAGUUGUGUUUUUUGAUAUUCAAGUGAGUCAGGAGUCAAAAUAUUAGAUGAGUAACUUCAUUUAUCGGGAUAUGUAUGUGACAUAACAGUUAAUGUGUGGCUUAGAAAACACAUAUAUCACAGGAUAAUGAAGUGGAAAUAAUUGACAAAAUAAGCUGAUGCUUACAUUUAGGAUUCCUUAGAACCUCUCCAGUUGUGUUUAUCCAUAUUCAAAUGAGUCUGAAAUCAAAAUAUUAGGUGUGGUGUGACAUGUGGUCUGACAUCCAAGGAUUAUUUCAAUUCUCUUCAUCUAUAGUCCCAACUUUAGUUAACUGAAGGAUUUUUGUACAAUAAUACACCAUAAAAAGUUUGCAUAUAUCUGAAGAUUUUAAAGCUGAACAUGCCCUGUUAUGUGGAAACUACAACAUAAAAUUCCAUGAAACACAACUUCUUGCCUCGACAAGUGGAUAUCAUAACAGAAUGAUUAGGAUAGCAAUUGAGAUCCACAGAAAUAAUUUCAACAGAAAAGAAACUAUAAAAUUUUAUAAAAUUUGUACACCAGUUCUUAAAUACAUAAAAAUCUGCUAAGCUGAUAAGUUGUCAGUCAGCAACAAACAUAAACAUUCAGUAAAAAUAUGGUUUAUAUUGCUAUUUCUAAUAAUUACUUGUUUCGUAUACAUGUAAGUUACUAUUGUAACUUCUUGAGACUGGCUGUAAUUCAACAAACGAACAUUGUAUAUUUUAGAACGUUAUUCUGAUGUUUAAAUUUGUAUAAUAAUUUCCGCUAGGAUUGUUAUGAUUUCAACAUGUGUAUAUGUAAGUUUUAUUUUUUAAAUCAUAAAUCAUGAAAUUUGCAACUGAUAAUAUAAGGUUUAUAACCUGCUGCUCCACAAACAUUGGAGUAUGUUAUUAUUGGGUGCAAUGGUUUUUGCUUUUAGUUUAUUCAAACAGUUGCCAAAUGAAUUGAUCUUCCUAAACUGUUGAUGUUUACUUAA
Molecule: long non-coding RNA, 1650 nt
Organism: Aethina tumida (small hive beetle)
Lineage: Eukaryota; Metazoa; Arthropoda; Insecta; Coleoptera; Nitidulidae
Exons: 4
Source: RefSeq, a predicted model, not a curated record